Molecule: ribosomal RNA, 676 nt
Filed under: uncultured fungus
Lineage: Eukaryota; Fungi
Description: eukaryotic LSU rRNA
Rfam family: 5.8S ribosomal RNA (bases 264-418)
Source: RNAcentral
CUUGGUCAUUUAGAGGAAGUAAAAGUCGUAACAAGGUUUCCGUAGGUGAACCUGCGGAAGGAUCAUUAUCGAAAUUAUUGGUGAGGGUUGUAGCUGGCCUUUCGAGGCAUGUGCACGCUCGAGCCCUUAAUCCACUUUACACCUGUGCACUUAAUGUAGGUCGCCCUUAAAAAAGGUGACCUAUGUCUUAUCAUCAACCCAUCGUAUGUCUCAUAGAAUGUAAUCGAUAUCCUCGCCCUAAAAAAGCGUUGAUAAACUUAUACAACUUUCAACAACGGAUCUCUUGGCUCUCGCAUCGAUGAAGAACGCAGCGAAAUGCGAUAAGUAAUGUGAAUUGCAGAUUUUCAGUGAAUCAUCGAAUCUUUGAACGCACCUUGCGCUCCUUGGUAUUCCGAGGAGCAUGCCUGUUUGAGUGUCAUUAAAUUCUCAACUCCAAGGGUUUCACGACCUUUCGGAGAUUGGACUUGGAGGUGCUGGCCGCAUAUUGGUCGGCUCCUCUCAAAUGCAUCAGCGGAAUUCAACCUUUGGCUUCCGGAUGUCAGUGUGAUAAUCAUGUUGCGCUGUCGUUUGAUCCCUCAGAGUCCGCUUAUAAUGGUCUUCGGACAAAAUCAUCAUCAAAUUUGACCUCAAAUCAGGUAGGACUACCCGCUGAACUUAAGCAUAUCAAUAAGCGAGA